This 2163-nucleotide ribosomal RNA is filed under the name Triticum aestivum (bread wheat). Its description in RNAcentral is "partial small subunit ribosomal RNA". Lineage: Eukaryota; Viridiplantae; Streptophyta; Magnoliopsida; Poales; Poaceae. The record is from RNAcentral.
AUGGAGCAAGCGACGUCGAUCUCGUCGUCCUCCCGUGAACCUGCGCCGGCGCCGGAUGAGAAUGAGACGGGGAUGGAGCAGGUUCUGGCGGAUCUGCAGGCGCUCAAGGGGCUCUACGGCCUGCUUCACAGGGGCCCCCAGUCAAAUGAAAAUUUGAACGAGGCAUCAAGAGAUAUGUUAAUGAAGAUGCUAGACAACGCUACUCAGCAGACUCUCCUAAGACAGGCAAAGUUGCUGUCAGGCCCCCUGAUGUCUGCUGCUCUUGAGAGGAAGCUCUCGAUCCAACCAGGCCGCCGGACAAGCGGCAAAGCCGAGCAUCAACUGAAGCCGAUCGCGUCGCCCAGCCCCAGCCUCUGCGCCAGCCAGAUGUCCCGGAGGCUGAAGCCGCAGGUCUCGGUGAGAAGCCGGGACGCCCGCAGCGUGUACGACGACCAUCGCCGCCGCGAGAGGGACGGUCCUCUCCUUGCUCGCGUCGACUCCGGCCGCUCGUCAAGAACCGCGAUGCCGCAGCUCCAUCAGAGGACUCCGGAGCCGCGCCUUUCCCGCCUCGCCUCCAACCGCUCAUCCAGGGUCGCCGAGCCACGGCUCCAUCCGAGCACUCCGGAGCAGCGCCUUCCCCGCGUCGCCUCCUACCGUUCGUCCAGGGUCGCCGAGCCACGGCUCCGUCGGAGCACUCCGGAGCAGCUCCUUUCCCGCGUCGCCUCCAACCGCUCGUCCAGGGUCGCCGAACCACGGCUCCGUCCGAGUACUCCGGAGCAGCGCCUUUCCCGCCUCGCCUCCAACCGUUCGUCCAGGGUCGCCGAGCCACGGCUCCGUCCGAGCACUCCGGAGCAGCACAUUUCCCGGGUUGCCUCCAACCGUUCGUCCGGGGUCGCCGAGCCACGGCGCGGUGUGUCAAGAGGUCGCGCUCCGCGCGCCGACCGUAGCGACAGGCAUAGCAGGCUGCGCGGGAGCUCUGGACGUGGUGAUCAUUCGUCGUCGCCGCCGUCGUCGUCCUCGCCAGAGCGGAGCAGCAGGCGCCGCUCCGUGUCCCGCGCCCCGUCGUCGCAUGGUCGCGCCACGGUGCGAGGAGUGGGAGCGUAUGGCUCCUCGACGCGUCGUUACAGCAGGAGGCUGGAGUCUGGGUUAUCCAUGGGCGUGAGGUCAUGCCGCGGCUCCGAGCGGGCCGGACGCGGCGCGGCCACGCCGAGGCAGUCGUCGUCGAGCAGCGGCGAGGCGGUCACGAUAAGCAGCCGCAUCAGGCCGACCCGGGAACUCACAGAGCGCCGCGUACACGAAUCUGAAGAAACAGGAGAACGGAGCCUUCGGCGGCGACAGAGGAAAGAAGGUGCCGUCGGUGGCAGCACCAGUAUGGGCUGGUCAAGCCGCCGGCCGCGGCGAGCGCUGGACCCAAUCACCUCCGGCAGCACGUACAGCAGCAGCUCGUCAGCUGCCGCUAGCCCGUCUCCCUCCACCAGCCCCACGGCGCCAACAUCAACAUCGGCCCCUUCAGCUUCUUCCUGCUCCUCGUCGGUGUCAGCGCCGCGGCGAGGCAGUGCGCUGCCGGAGCACGGAUUCAAGGAGGCGUCGAGCGCGUCAAGAAGUCGCCGGCGCCGGGAAAGGCAGGAGAGAAGGGAAGGGCGGCUACGAAUGUUCAAGGAGAAGCUCGCGCUGGUGUUCCACCACCGCCACGACCAUCACCACCACCACCACAUCGGUGGCGAGCGCUCCGGCAGCCCCGUGUCCAGACGCGAUCGCCGCGGCAACAACAGCAAGUCGCCGUGGAGCUACCUCGGUGGCCUCGGCGGCAUGUUCCACCGCAGCAUUGGCCACGCCGCAAAGAAAACCCACGACGCAAAGAAAAUCCACGACGCAAAGAAAAACAACGACGCAAAGAAAAACCAGGACGAAAAGAAAAAGACCACGAGCCGGACGGUGGUGCCGGUGCCUUCGCCGGCGAAGAAGCGCGGCGGGGGGCAAACGCACUCGCUGUUCGGCGCGCUGGUGAAGCACAAGUUGGGAACGCGGAAGGCACCAGCGCGAGCUCCGACGGCGCGCGCGGGUACCCAGAGCAGGAUGCAGGUCAAUAAGAUGCACUGGUGGCAACUGCUGAGGCAACAGCACGCCCGGGCACAGGGUAAGGGCAGGCCUCCUCGUCGUUUAGGACAAGGGAAAGCACCGUAG